Molecule: ribosomal RNA, 500 nt
Filed under: uncultured Flavobacterium sp.
Lineage: Bacteria; Pseudomonadati; Bacteroidota; Flavobacteriia; Flavobacteriales; Flavobacteriaceae
Description: bacterial SSU rRNA
Rfam family: Bacterial small subunit ribosomal RNA
Source: RNAcentral
UGCAGGAAGACUGCCCUAUGGGUUGUAAACUGCUUUUAUACAGGAAGAAAAGGGUGUACGUGUACACUGAUGACGGUACUGUAAGAAUAAGGAUCGGCUAACUCCGUGCCAGCAGCCGCGGUAAUACGGAGGAUCCAAGCGUUAUCCGGAAUCAUUGGGUUUAAAGGGUCCGUAGGCGGGACAAUAAGUCAGUGGUGAAAGUUUGCGGCUCAACCGUAAAAUUGCCAUUGAUACUGUUGUUCUUGAGUGCUUGUGAAGUGGUUAGAAUGAGUAGUGUAGCGGUGAAAUGCAUAGAUAUUACUCAGAAUACCGAUUGCGAAGGCAGAUCACUAACAAUUCACUGACGCUGAUGGACGAAAGCGUAGGUAGCGAACAGGAUUAGAUACCCUGGUAGUCUACGCCGUAAACGAUGGUUACUAGCUGUUCGGACUAAUUGAGGUCUGAGUGGCUAAGCGAAAGUGAUAAGUAACCCACCUGGGGAGUACGUUCGCAAGAAUGAA